This 378-nucleotide ribosomal RNA is filed under the name Trebouxia decolorans. RNAcentral's name for it is "eukaryotic LSU rRNA". It matches the Rfam family "Eukaryotic large subunit ribosomal RNA", at positions 742 to 1134 of the family's 3401-position model. Lineage: Eukaryota; Viridiplantae; Chlorophyta; Trebouxiophyceae; Trebouxiales; Trebouxiaceae. The record is from RNAcentral.
GGCUUAUGCCUGCACCAUCGACCGACCAUGAUCUUCUGUGAAAGGUUUGAGUACGAGCAUACCUGUUGGGACCCGAAAGAUGGUGAACUAUGCCUGAGCAGGGCGAAGCCAGAGGAAACUCUGGUGGAGGCUCGUAGAUGUGCUGACGUGCAAAUCGCUUUUCGGACUUGGGUAUAGGGGCGAAAGACUACUAGUAGCUGGUUCCCUCCGAAGUUUCCCCCAGGAUAGCUGGAGCUUGAUCAGUUUUAUCGGGUAAAGCGAAUGAUUAGAGGUACCGGGGAUGAAACGUCCUCGACCUAUUCUCAAACUUUAAAUAGGUAAGACGUCUGGGUUGCUUAAUUGAACCCAGGCACUCAAUGAGAGCUCCAAGUGGGCCAU